AUUCCAGCUCCAAUAGCGUAUAUUAAAGUUGUUGCAGUUAAAACGCUCGUAGUCGGAUUUCGGGGCGGCUUCGUCGGUCUGCCGAUGGGUAUGCACUGACGCGGGCGUCCUUCCUUCCGGAGACGCGUCCUACUCUUAGCUGAGCGGGGCGUGGAGACGGAUCGUUUACUUUGAAAAAAUCAGAGUGUUUCAAGCAGGCAUCAUCGCUCUUGCAUGGAUUAGCAUGGGAUAAUGAAAUAGGACCUUGGUGCUAUUUUGUUGGUUUCGAGCACCGAAGUAAUGAUUAAUAGGGACAGUUGGGGGCAUUCAUAUUCCAUUGUCAGAGGUGAAAUUCUUGGAUUAACGGAAGGUGAACUUCUGCGAAAGCAUCUGCCAAGGAUGUUUCCAUUA
Molecule: ribosomal RNA, 390 nt
Filed under: Dicrateria sp.
Lineage: Eukaryota; Haptophyta; Isochrysidales; Isochrysidaceae
Description: partial small subunit ribosomal RNA
Rfam family: Eukaryotic small subunit ribosomal RNA
Source: RNAcentral